ACAAUGGAGAGUUUGAUCCUGGCUCAGGAUGAACGCGGGCGGCGUGCCUCUCACCUGCAAGUCGAACGGUCACUGCGGUGAUGGUGGCGGCCGGGUGAGUUACGCGUCAGAAUCUACCCACAGGACGGGGACAACAACUGGAAACGGUUGCUAAUACCCGAUGUGCCGAGAGGUGAAAUGUAAUUGGCCUGAGGAAGAGCUUGCGUCUGAGGAGCUAGUUGGUAGU
RNAcentral lists this ribosomal RNA (226 nucleotides) under Chlorogloea purpurea SAG 13.99. RNAcentral describes it as "partial 16S ribosomal RNA". It matches the Rfam family "Bacterial small subunit ribosomal RNA", at positions 1 to 256 of the family's 1533-position model. The record is from RNAcentral. Lineage: Bacteria; Bacillati; Cyanobacteriota; Cyanophyceae; Chroococcales; Entophysalidaceae.